CGCGGGCGGAGAUGGCGUCCUGCGGCGGCGGCGGGCCGGGGCGCGCGACGCGCAUGCGCGGCGGUCAGCCUCCCGGCGCCAUUUUAUGUGAGGCGCUUUCCCAUUUUAGGCCGCGGCAGGGAGGCGGCGGGAGUGGUCGGCGGUUCUCCUGCGGGGGGUUGGGGCGGGGAGCCGCGGGGCUGAGCCCUGGCAGCGGACCCUCACGGAGGCGGCAGGCCUGGCGGCAAGCCCCUUCCAGUGCUCCGAGGAGGCAGCGCGAUGUUUCGUCUUCGUAGCCCCUCGAGUGAUGGCGGUGACGGUCGCUCCCGCUCGGCCGCGAUGGCGGAGCGCGCCCGGCCGGCCCCGGAAGUGAAGCGGUGACGGAGGGUCCCUCUGGCGGCGCUCGGCGGAACCGCUCGGGCCGGGAAGGCGCUGAGGCGGCUCGUUGGGCAUCAGGUAGGGGCCGCGGGGCCGCCUUCCCGCGGUGCUGCGGGGAUCGGUCAGUCAGUCAGCACGGAGGGGGUCGGGGCCGGCGGUGAGGUAACGCCGCGGGAGGCGGAGAGGCCCCGGCCCUUCUGUGGGCGCCCUCCGGAACUGUGCUGUUCGGCGGCGCCCCCGAAGCGCUCGGUGCUCACAGGCAGCGCUGAUGCUGUUAUGAAGCCAUCUGGGGCUUCAGCUGUGGUUACGCUUCUUGGCUUCGUAUGUAAACCUUAGUCUGUGUUUAAGCGCUGUGCAGCUUCGUUGUUUUUCCUCAGAGUAAUUAAAACCUGAUUUCAUUAGCUCAUUUUCAGCUACAGAAUGCGUUUUUCAUUUACUUAUCCUUGCACUGAAAGGACCUGUGGAUGUGGUUUUGAAGUUUUUGUGAGAAAUAAAGGGCUGCCUGAGUUUGUAAGUUAAAUCUCACCUCAAGCUUGUGUUCUUUGUGACUAAAUUUGGUGCUCUAGGAAGUGGUGUGCAAAGGGACAGCUGUAGGGAUUUUAUUGAGGUAAUAGCAUAGAUAAGCUGUAGUAAAGUUAAUGCAUGCCAAUAAUGCUUAGUGUUGACUACAGGACACCUCUAACACGUUUGGAGGUGUAGCACAGGGCACGCAGCACAGCUGUAGCAUUCUGGUGUUUGGAUCUCUUCUGUCAAUAGAAAGAUGUAUACAACAUAUAUAUAUAUAUAAAGGUUUGGGAUGCUCGUUUGAUUGCUGAUGUAACUUCUGUGUUGUAGUCGAUGCAGUGGAUAAACAGAAGAAGAAAUGCUGUAGUGUACAUUCAAGUUAGUAAAGUAAGUUAGUAAAACUUAGAAUCAUAGAAUCACGAGGUUGGAAAGGACCUACAAGGUCAUCUAGUCCAACCGUCCCCCCCAUUAUCGUUACUAUCAUGAGCCACUAAACCAUAUUUUGUUGCUCCUCUUCAGAAGUUCAAGAAGUUUGCUUUGAAUGUCAAGUUAUGGUAUCUGUGUGGCGUGUAAGAGUUGAAUGAUUCUAUGGUUUUGGAGGGACCGUUUGUAUCUCUGUGUAAAAUAGAGUACUGCUCAAUAAAUAAGAGUUCCUGACAAAACUAACCAGUCUUGUUUCUGAUUUCUAGCAGAAAAAUUCUGUCCAUCUGGGCGUAGCUGUUCUUGGCACAGGAAGUUCUUGGCACAUCGCUCAUCUAACUACUAUGAGCAAAAGGAUUAUGUUUUUCUGCAUAGUAAGUCAGCAGGAGAGGUGACUUGUUCUUUUAUGGCGUUUAAAGUACCUAAGAAUGUCAAGCUAAGCAGCACCCCGAGUAGCGUAAACAUUCACACACAACUUGGGCAUGAUGUGUGCUGUAAUGGAAUGAAAGAGCUGUACUCCUGGCAAGGCAGGGACUACUUCUAAUUUUGGUUUAAACUAACUUUUCAUUGAAACGUGAACUUCAGAACUCAGGGUUGCACUGUGAUACUGAAUCACUGCAUGUCAGUGUUAAAUAUCUGAGCAUUAAAUGUACAUUGUCUGUAUCAGAUCCUUGCAGCUGUGCUUCUUCCUUCACAGUGUGAUCUCUUAUAGGGAAAUGUUUGUCACGAGGGGGGGAAGAGCAGCAGAACUCCCUGUUGGAAACCACUCUGUCAUGAACCACUCUGUCAUCUUUACAAAACUAACAUUCAAUACUAAGUUAUGAGACAAACAUUCCUGAAAUAUUAACUACUGUAAUUCUUGUUCUAACAUGGAGCUCUGUGUGUAAUGAAAUACUGUGUUACUUUGUCAGGCUUCAGGAGUUCAGGAGACUUCAUGCUGCUUUUAUUUCCUGUUUCUAAUGUUUACUUCUGCCUCUUCAGACGUUCUUCCCCUUGCUGUUUCUAUUCUGCCAGUAAAUAUGGAAUCUGUUUCCAGUGGCUGAGCAAACAUCUGCAUGUAGAAUCUGCUUGUAUGGAGCUGCUGUUUCUGUACAAAUGAACAUCAGGUGUGUGCUUGCUAUGGAACUUUACUAUCUCACUCUGCAGUCUGCUCAUUGCAGUGUGUCAGGUGGUUGUGAAGUCUUUAGUACUCCAGUGUGAAGGGGAAAAAACAACGAAACCCAAGAAAUGUGGAGUUGACAACAGAAAGUUUGGUCAGUAACAGUGCGAUUAUAAAAAUGAAAGGCUAAACCUUCCUUCCUACUCAGUGCUUUACUGCUGAGUCUCAGCAGUAAGUUCCUUUGUGUUAUUUAUUUAUAUAUAAAUAGAGGUAGCAAUAAAAAGUGUGUAUUUAAAAAGAAACAGAAACCAUCCCGCUUAGUGCUUACUUCCCCCAGCACUGUCAUCGUAUCCCAGUCCUUGUGUUCAGAAAAAUGGAUGCUGUUAUUGAACAUAACUGCGUGCUGCUUCUGGCACUUCCUGGAGUGUUGCUGGAGGAAGUGUAGCAACCCUUAAGAAACUGAGUUAGUGCGUUUUUCUUCCCUGAAUUUUACUAGUAGCUUCGUAAACCAGGUAUGGGUAUGUUUUGCAGCAGUGCAGUAAUGCAUAUUUAUAAUGUAGUGCUUUGCAUGAGGAGAACCAAGCUUCCCGUUAGCUCUGCACGUGACAGUAGUGCUCACUCUGCAGUUGCUUCUUCCACUAACACAAGUGAAAUGAUGCAUGCUUAGCUUGUCUGAGUAGCUCUUGGUGGUGGUUUUGGAGAACUCCAGGGAGGAGCAGUCCUCCUCUUACUGAAUAGAUGAUGUCCAGUCCAACUGCACUUCCUAACUACAGCUCUGUGUGCUUUAAGACAUGUGCAGGAACAGCAGGGCAUCAACUGAUCUGUUAUUAGCAGCCUCGUAUGAGAGGUUUUAGUUCUCAGCUGAUAGAACUGCUGCUCUCAUCCUAGCCUGUGUUAGCCCAGGGGAGGUGUUUUGCUAUUUGCCAUGCCUUCUUUUAAUUCCAGCCAUAAAACAUUCUCUUUUUGUUAAGAUUGAUAUGGUAUUCUCACGGUUGGGCAUAAUGAGAGCUGUAUUCAAAGAGACUUAUUUUUAUUUUUCCUGGUAUGGAAUUUUCUGUUAUGAGAGCAGCUGUUGAAGGGUGCCCGUUGCUGGAGUUGACCCAACACUGGAUUUUAAAGCCAGUUUUUGCAUACUUCGUUGUGUGCUGUUAAAGCAUCUGAAUCUAAAAGUUUGCCUAGCAAAGGCUCUAAUUACAGAUCCGUUUAGUUUCCUGUAUUACUUGUCAUGACCACACAUUCCCCUUGAUGACAACGGUGAGGCUGUUACAACUAUAUGAGGGAAGUGGGUGCAAAUCUUUUGUCCUCGCUGUGCUGCUGGAAAGCAGCAGUGUGGGACUACAGAAGCUAUAGUUCAGUAUUUGCAGUUUCAGUGUGUGGUGAAAGAUUUUGACUGCUGUUAUCCUGCAGGAAACCUGUGAUACCAGAUCAGGUGUACACAUAGACUGAGUGGGUGUCCAAUGCUGUUCCUAUCUAAGGUGCUCACUGAUGCCAAGUGGAUAACUAAAACGAGUUGUUUCUUUUUUUGAGAAAGCAACUUCAGUUGGAUUAUUGUCUCAGUACUCGUGUUAGAAGAUCCAGAGCAGUGGGGUUUCUAUUGUGUUCUUAAGCUAAUGGUCUGAGUGAUUUCUGGUGGGCAACCUGUAGAGUCUUUGCUUAUGCUAAAUUAUGCUGGUAUCUUGGAAGGCUUUUUUUCCUUCAUAAUACUUCCUCUUGCAGAAGUAGCUACAUUUUAAAAGUAUGAAAGGCAAUGUAGAGCCACGUUUCCAUAUACACUGGAUUUCAGAGACACUGACAACUGGCUUGCUCAUUGGAUUUUUACUAAGGUGCGUAUUUCCCCAUUUGUAGAGAAAGAAAAUACUGUUCUAAUGGUGAUGCUGAGUCUUUGGACAUGGGUUGCCCACCAGCACAGCUGUCACUUUCAAGCUUGUCAGUGCUGAUAAGGUGUUAAUUAAUAUCAUGGAUGGUCAAGAGGUGCAGGUUGUAGAGCAGCAUCACCCAGCUGAAUGUGGGCAGAGAUUGAGCCUGCUGAAAGCAGUGUGUGUGCCACUAUUAGCAUGCAGCCCAGCACAAGGUAGCAAAACUACUUCUGCAAGCAAGGAUUUUCAGCAAAAGAAAACUUGUGAGGGCAGUAGUUACGUUCUUUCUUCUAGGGCUUUUACUUGUCUAAAUUACUUCAAUCACUUACAGUUAAUUUACUUUUCAGCCUCAGCCAACGAGACUGCAGUUCAUCAGUAUUGAUUAUUUUUGAAGGCAUUAAUGCCCUCAGUCUAAUGAUUUAAAUGUUAGUAGCUAUAAACAGCCACCGUUAGCAAGAACGUACAGCUUAGCUGGUGACUGCAUCCUAACUCUUUCCUACUUUUAAGCCUUCUUUUCAAACUUACUUUUUAUUUCUGUAUUUUGUUUGCUGGCUGUUAUUACAGGUAGUGAAUUCCCUGCCCACGUGGGAAGUAGCUGACCAGCUGGCACUGUUAGCAUCCAGGCUGUCAAUUAGUUGCAAGCCUGCACUGCUCCCAGGAGGUUUGUAUUUUCAGGGAUGUGGUGUUUUUUUUUCCUGUUAGGAGUUGCAGAUCAUCUGUGUGGUGCAGUACUGCUACAGCUGCACUGCAAACAGAGCCACUGUUAUAAGCUGUGUUCUAUCGAUUUCCAGAACGAAACAGCAAGUCUUCCUAGCAAGUUUUAACUGUUCUGAUUCAAUGAAAGGCAUCUUUUAUCAGGGGGCAGCAGUUUCUUCCUUGCAGGCAGCAAAACGGGGUGACAAACUGGUAUGGGAGUAUUGUUCCAACUCUAAUUUGGCUGGGGAAUGUAGUUGCUUGUUAAACUGACUCUCCUACUGGAAACACAUGAAGCUAUGCUUUGAUUCCACUUCCCGACACAGUAUUUCAGAUUUCUGCUAUUCCUGGAACAUAUAGGAAUGAAUCUGGGGAAAAACAGCUUCCAAAAGUUGUGCUCUUUGUGGAGUGUAGAUACACAGAGCACAACUUCAGUUCUCAUUCUAUGUAAGCACACUGCUGAAGUCAUCUAAUGUUGCUGGAACCUGUUAAUGUGUCUCAGUCUUGCCCCAAAUGACAGCAGCAGAUUCCUGCUUUUCUAAAGAUCUUGCAGAAAGGACAUGUUGUACUUUCAAUUUUUUUUUCUGGUUUUAAUGUAGGAAUUGCUGGAUUUUUUUGGUAGGUGUUUGGGAUGGAUCGGCUUCUGUGUGCAUUUACUACAACUUAACCUCCUGUUAGCAUAAUCUGUGCUAAUCUGAGUGGUUUUUGGACUCGCAGGCUGUACAUGUCAUAAAAUGUGGUCUAAUUUUAUGCACAAGUAAACCACCCCAUAUUUGAUCUAAUCUUUUUAUUUGGCUUGUCUUACCAUGUCAAUUAAAAAGGUAUCUUUUGUGGAUAGUUCUUAGUUUACCUUUAGGAGAAACUUCAGGGGAUUUAACUUUUCCCUCUAUCUGAUGACAUGCAUGUGUUUGGACUACAAACUAUGCAAGGCUGCUGUCUGCUUUAUUCUAGUUGUCCAUUUUUGGUUUGCACAGCAAUCCUGAGAACCAUUUUUAAACAACAGCUUCAGAGUCCUUUAAUAGCUAGCAGUAUGCUGAAGAUGAAAGAAUGCUGCAUCUGGAAAUGAGAGACUUACUUUGAGCUCGGUUGUAGAUCCUGUGUUCUCAAAUACUGUCAUGCAUUUCCUAGCCAGACAGUAAGGCUCCACCCUUACCUUUUCUAUAGCCUGUUCCCUGCAACUCUGUGCCCUUGGAAAUAAGGGAUGGCAAGCUCAUCUAGUAGGGAAAGGUAGAGGCAGUAAAUGUCUCCAAAUAUCUGUCCUUUGUUAGGUAAAGGUAACUUCAUGCAUGUAACUUGAAAAACUGGUGUGUGGAGUAAAAACUGGUCAUCCUUUUAGAGCUGUGCAACAGGAAUAGAAGGAGGGGGAACAAACAGUCUCUUUGCUGUGUUUUUGGUGGUGGUAUGCACUCAAAAUCCUAUUUUUAUCUUCAGUCCUGAAAUUCUGCACUCUGGGGUUAUGAUUAUCAUUCAACAAUAUAUGUUAAGCAGUUCACUGUUUUCUGUACCCUUCUCUUGUUAACAGUUAAAUCUUAAGGAAAAGCACCAAUAUGUGCAGUUAUAUCAAAGCCCCUUUUUUAGAGAUGACCAGGGCUGCACAGCCAAAUAGCAUCUCAAGUGUUAUUGCACCCACAUGGGCAGUGGAACUUGCAGAGAAGGGAGGCUUUUAACCUUAGGCCAUCAUGCUAUUUUUGGUGAUGAGAAGUGAUAAAUGACUUAUGCCUGGCAUUGCUUAGAUCUGCUUGGAAUUCAUUGUUUGAGCUGCUUCCUUUCUGAGUCAGCACCAACUACAGAUGAGUAGUAUUUAUUGUGGAGCUAUCCUUACAUCUAUCUGUCAUACCAGAAACCUUAUGUGUGUGUUACUUGUCAUAUUCUAACAGCUCAAUCUUAACAUAAUUUUAUCAGUAGUAACAUAACUUUGAAUGAAGAUAUUAUCCAAAAUCCUGUAAAAACAGUGCAGUCUGUGGAAAUGGAUUACUCUGAUGCUGCAGUUUAAAUGUGAUUUGUUUUUUGACCACUGCAAGUAGAGCUGCAAGUUCCCAAAGUAGUCAUGGAGACAAAUGUAAACUAGAUAUGGGAGUAUUGUUAGAUUUGUCACCUGAGGCUCACCUUAGUCCCCUUAAUUUUCUGGAACAACACCUCUGUGUGUGGACAUAGUGAGUAAAUAAUUGUAACAGGGAACGUGGCAUACCUGGCUGUACAUCACAUCAGAGCAGUGACUCAGCAGCUGCUGAGUAACUAUCAGCAGGUGAGCGAGACCUGGAGAGGAAUGAUUCCUCUACAUUCUACCCUUCUUUGUUGUUGGAUCUGUGUAUUUCUAAUCCUUUCUGUGGUGGAAGGAUGGCUUUAAGCUAAGAGGUAAACAAUUGUAUAGACCAGCUUUCUUCCAGUGUUCCAUUAGAGCAUGUACUUUGGGUCUCAAGCAAUGGUAUUUGCCUUUAAUACUUUGAAGUUUUAUUCCAGCACAGCAAGAACUACAGUUGUGCAUUCCAAGUGGGUAUGUGACUUUCUGUUCUAUUACGUAUUCCCAUAAAUGGCCAGAGCCCAGACUAAGUAGGUUACUUGUUAAGCCAGAAGCAAGAAAUGCUGCCAUGGUAAGGGCUAAUUAUGCCUUUCUGGUAUCUUCAAAACUAAAACCUCCCAGUACUCUUGGCAGAAAUAAUAAAAAUGAAUGUUAAGAAUCACCUCUUGCUGAAAUCAGAGAUUCAGAAACUUUCUGCCUUGCUAAGGGCAUGUUUGUUAUCCUUGCAAUAUACUUUUGCAUUUCAAUGUUAAACUCAACUUAAAAACAACCAUUUCCAGGCCAACCAUAGAAGCUCCCUUCUUCAGAGAAGGGCAUCCAAGCCCUAUUUCUGCAGGCAGGCACUGCUGGUUUAACUGGCUCUGGGAGCUUUUGGAGGCCACUCUUAGACUGCUGGUUUUGGUCUAUUGAGUUUAUCACUGAGCCUGCAACUGUUCCAAUCAGCUCUGAAUAGAGGCAUAGUCACCUGGUGUGUUAAAAGGUGGGAGUAUGUGGCUACUUUGCUUUAGGUAACAGCUCUUCCAGGCCUUCUGUGCUGCAGAGGCUGAAUGUGUGUACUUUCUCAGGCAUGCCCUGGGUGUGAAGCUGCAGGAGGCUGAUGGAAGCUUUCCGAUCAACAGCUGACCCAGUACCUCUGACACCUAGAUACUGUUUAAGCCUGAAGUGUAAGGAAGUAUCUAGAAUUACAGCUAGACUUGCCCUUCUCUCUUAACCCAGUAACAUAACUUGUAAGACUGUUACAUUUCCUGUACCCAGUCCUAAAUGGAAGGAUUAGAAAAGUAUAGCUGCUUUAGAAGGACAACUCCUUAUUGUCACUUAGCAGUUUAUCAGCAAGGUUUCAGGUUUGGAAUCAAGGAGUCAUGUUGUUGCAUUAAAGCAAGUGGAAGAUCAGUCCUCAGCUUUAGGCUGCAAUUAGAUUACUAACUGGCUUUUACUGACUCAGUAGAGCUGAAUUGGCAAUAAGCUUCAGUAGUAAAUUCAGACUGAAUGCAACACAAAACUAAAGCCUGACUCAGGUACCAUUGCUAUACUGUUGCCUCAGGGGACAGCACUCAAGGAAGCUGUUCAUCAGUCAUGAUUAAUCUUACUUCAGGGAGGCCUGAUAGAGUUGUAGCAGUUUGACAGCUGUGCUUAGCUGGAAAGGCAAGAGUUCCAUGUGGCCUGACUCUAGCCCAGGCUUAAGCCUGAGUCAGUCAUUAAGCACUGACAGAGACCCAUUUAUCUCAAUUUCCUUUGCUUUGCCACCAAGAAGAAACAGAACCUGUAUCCUAUAAUCUCAUUAGGAAAGAGACUGCAGAAGUAUGGGAGCUUUUUUAAAAAGUAAAAAAAAACAUUAAAACUAAAGAGAGGGAGUGUUUUUUCUUUAAGGGCUGCUCAUUACUAAUAAUAUGCAUUACUAAAGCAAUUGGUUUGUUAAGAAAGCAUGCAGUUCAGACUAAAGAUGCCCAUUAGAAUUUUAGUUAUGUGCAAAGACCUCCAUUUUGAGUCUGAACUGACAGACAGAUGAGUUUGGUACCUCAAGUUUCAAGAUUUGUAAGUGACUUAGGCUAAAUGCUGUCUGUUUUCCUAAGAGCUGUGAAAAGAAACCAUGAAAGAUUCUUUUUAGCUCCUAGGAAGGUCAGCAAUGGAUUCACAACUGAUUUACAGAACUACAGCAGAGAAGCUGUUAAUAAAUGUAAAGCUGAGAUGUGUUAAGCUAUAUUACUGGAGUGAAAAACAGCAAAAAGUAAACAGUUCAGCUCUGCAAGUUAAUUCCAAGUAGUCCUUGUGUUACUUUUCAUUAAUCCUAUUCUGGGCUUAAUACUCCAAAUUAAAGAGUUUUCCUGGAGGCUGGUUGAAGUUGUCAGCUGCAUGUAUCACACUAAGUUGUAAAGGAGCUGGCUAUCUACUCUGCCCAGAAUUGGAAACUGCCACUGUGACAAGUGAGAAUAAGGACAGUGGCUGGUUAAUCCAGGAUCAGCUGUAAACAAGAGACCUGUCAGAGCCCUAAGCAGCUGGCUUGGCUGUGUCUAGCUUGGCUCAAAACUUCUGCUGUAGUAAGCAGCAGCUACACUAGAAUGAUCACACCUUCAGUGACUGCUUUGAUAUAUAGUACAGUUUAGAAUACAGGUGCAUUCUUGAUAAUGUCAAUCCUACCUUAUUUUGAAAUAAAAGCUAACAGACAGUAAAAUGGAAAAUUUAUUAGUGCAAGUUGGUCACUCAGUUUUUUCCAGCAAGUACAGAGGAGAUCCCAUGGUUAAUACGCUAUAAACAAACCUGUACUAAGUCAAACUUGUCUUGUAGUAACAAUGUGUUACAUAUUUUCAUCAUCUGAUUCAUCUUCCUCUUUCAAAGAUUCCUUGGCGUAUUUUUCUGCUUCUUCCCUUAUGUCUUUGGGAACAAUUUCAUGUUUUCCAUUGGUUAUUUCUCCAACCCAGCUGAGUUCCAACUCAAAAGCUUUAUCCUUUACUUCGUCAUGAACGAUGUAGAUUAUUUUCGCAACCUCUUUGACAACGUCACGGCAAGUCAUUUCCUUCAUCUGAAGUUUUUCAAUCUCUGUCUUUGCAGCCUGCCUGGCUUUACCGAUGGCACACCCCCAAUAACCGUAUGAAACUCCUGACGGAUCAAUCAUGUACAGUUGUGCACCGUCGUCGUCAUCAUAGGACCCCAACAUGAAACUGCAACCAAAAGGUCUGACAGCGCUGUACAGUGUGUAUGCAUGCACGUACAUCGCCACUCUGUCUGCAAGAUGCUUCAGUGGAAUAUCAUAGCCAUAGUUAGUCCGGAAGUUAGAAGCUUCUUCUCUAGCUAUGUCUGCCAACGAACGAGCAUCUGCCAGCAGUCCUGCUACUGCCUGAAAGGAGAAUUGCCCAUCACACAGUCCAAGUGUGGCUUAUAAAAAGCUUAUGAACAAUAGUCUAACCACAAGGCUUAAUCAAGGUCUUUACAAGUGAGUUCCAUCAACUUUCUGCUAGCCGGCUUACAACGUCAAUGUGAUUAGAUACUAAUACAGUACUGAAUUUGUGAUUAGAUACUAAUACAGUACUGAAUUUUUCUCUAGGAAAAUUAAUAACCAAAGAAGUCUGAAAAGCUUCCAAGUACUUUUAGACAGCUUCAAAACACGGGCUUAUCUCUGCUUUAAGUUAGGAAUUCUGUGUGUGUGCAUGCAGUCAAGAAGAACUGCAAAAAAAUUGUCCAAAAAAAUUCCACUGGCACUUCUACGUACACAGAAACCUAACACAGCUUCCACAACCUUAUUAUUGAUUCUGAGCUCUGUGCAUUUCUGCUUUGGAGUAGGAAUUCCCCUUCGUGAGAAAUUAAACAGCACCUCACCAUUCCAACGUGCCGAUCGACGUUGAAGAGGCGUUUAUUGGAACCCUCUUCAUACAGCUUGGACAGAACGAGUUUUUCUACACCAAAGACAACGCCAUCUUUGCAUCUUAUGCCAAUUGCUGUACUGCUGUUCUCCACAGCCUUCAUCGCGUAUUCCACCUGAAACACUCUGCCAUCGGGAGAAAAGGUGGACGCCGAC
Molecule: long non-coding RNA, 10958 nt
Filed under: Gallus gallus (chicken)
Lineage: Eukaryota; Metazoa; Chordata; Aves; Galliformes; Phasianidae
Source: RNAcentral